CCUACGGGAGGCAGCAGUGAGGAAUAUUGGUCAAUGGACGAGAGUCUGAACCAGCCAAGUAGCGUGAAGGAUGACUGCCCUAUGGGUUGUAAACUUCUUUUAUAUGGGAAUAAAACGUUCAACGUGUGGGAUUUUGUAUGUACAAUAUGAAUAAGGAUCGGCUAACUCCGUGCCAGCAGCCGAGGUAAUACGGAGGAUCCGAGCGUUAUCCGGAUUUAUUGGGUUUAAGGGGAGCGUAGGUGGAUUGUUAAGUCAGUUGUGAAAGUUUGCGGCUCAACCGUAAAAUUGCAGUUGAAACUGGCAGUCUGGAGUACAGGAGAGGUGGGCGGAAUGCGUGGUGUAGCGGUGAAAUGCUUAGAUAUCACGAAGAACUCCGAUUGCGAAGGCAGUUCACUGGACUGCAACUGACACUGAGGCUCGAAAGUGUGGGUAUCAAACAGGAUUAGAUACCCCAGUAGUC
RNAcentral lists this ribosomal RNA (460 nucleotides) under uncultured bacterium. RNAcentral's name for it is "partial 16S ribosomal RNA". It matches the Rfam family "Bacterial small subunit ribosomal RNA", at positions 338 to 795 of the family's 1533-position model. The record is from RNAcentral.